Molecule: long non-coding RNA, 1166 nt
Organism: Mesocricetus auratus (golden hamster)
Lineage: Eukaryota; Metazoa; Chordata; Mammalia; Rodentia; Cricetidae
Exons: 4
Source: RefSeq, a predicted model, not a curated record
ACCCCCGCCGCCGGGUUCCUGCGGUGACACACGCGCGGCCGCUGGGGGGGGAGACAGCAGUGCGUGCCCGCACCGUUUGCUCUGGGCUGCGUGAGAGCUGCCUGAGCCGGGGAGCCAGAGAUGGGUUGGCCUGAGCAAGCCAAGAGGGUCUCAGAACCACUGCGUUCUUCUGUCCCUAAUUCUGGAUGCCGUGUCGGGGUCUCGGUCUCAUAUCCCAUUUAACCUCCUUAGGACAACGUAGAGUGGAAGGGUGGAAAUCUACCUCUUUAUUAAUCCUUCCAAUCAGAUGGACGAACCCUAUGUUUCUACGCAACAGUUCUGGGAGGGUGGGAGCGAAGGAAGGCAGGAGGGACACUUUCUUAAGGACAGAUGAAAGAAUCCGAUCCGAGAGCGGGAUGAGAGGCCACGCCAGCCGCAAACCUAAAGCACAGCCUCCAAGUCACGACUUGAGUAAAAGCAAACCUUUAGCCAAACCACCUAGACCUCACUGGGCCUCUCCCCUCCUGCCUGCUGGCAUCAGAGUCUCUGGCUUUCCGUGGCCAGCCUGUGAGCAGUGGCGGCUUUCCAAAAUGCUACGGAGAAGCACAUCAAAUGUCUUCUCUGCCGCUGACCGGAGCCUAGGGUGAGAAGGGACCUUCUGAACAGGACCUCCCUCGCCCCCAGCGCCGUCCGCGAGGGACUUCCCCAGUGCUCGCAUAAGGGAGGUAUCCGCCUUCCACCUGCAGAUUCCCAGCCCUCCCUGCGUGGAAACUCACACUUAAAAUCUGGUGAAAAUUCCAACUAAAAGGCUACUCCCUGCCUUCAGGUCGGGGUUUGAAAUGAGAGUUCUCCACUACUCCUGCCACCUGGCUUUUGCUUCACUACUGUGGAUGCUAAUCUUCUGGACCUGUGAACCCAGUUUCCUCGGUCACUGUGUAUAUUAUCACUGCAAGAGAAAAGAGCUGCUUUGUUGAGCUGUUGAAUCCAUUUUGGAUGAAAUUAACUAAUUCAAGAACAAAUACUCCAGUGGAAAGCCUGUGUCCUGGUCACACCCCAGCCUGUGGAACUCUCUUCAGACAUUUCAUCCCUGGAGCUUUCCAUGAACAGUUCAGGCCACCAGACAGGCAGAGCCUUCAUCCAGUGGCUGAUGGAAGCAGAAGCAGACACCCACAGCUAAGCACUGAGCC